GUCGGCCUGCGCGGAAGAUGUAACGGGGCUAAACCAUGCACCGAAGCUGCGGCAGCGACGCUUAUGCGUUGUUGGGUAGGGGAGCGUUCUGUAAGCCUGUGAAGGUGUACUGUGAGGUAUGCUGGAGGUAUCAGAAGUGCGAAUGCUGACAUAAGUAACGAUAAAGCGGGUGAAAAGCCCGCUCGCCGGAAGACCAAGGGUUCCUGUCCAACGUUAA
This 217-nucleotide ribosomal RNA is filed under the name Escherichia coli. RNAcentral's name for it is "partial 23S ribosomal RNA". It matches the Rfam family "Bacterial large subunit ribosomal RNA", at positions 1153 to 1368 of the family's 2925-position model. The record is from RNAcentral. Lineage: Bacteria; Pseudomonadati; Pseudomonadota; Gammaproteobacteria; Enterobacterales; Enterobacteriaceae.